UUCGUCUUCAGCAAGUGGAAGAGACUGGGGACGUAAAGGAGCUGGUUCAGAUGCAACCAAGCCAUUGGAAAUCACGAAGCCUGCCUCAGAAAAAGUUGACUCAUUUGAGUAUACACCUCCACACUAAGUGACAUCGCGAAGGGAACAUUCCAGCGAAAUCUUUGAAGGUAACACGGCCCUUAAAAGGAA
This is a long non-coding RNA of Limulus polyphemus (Atlantic horseshoe crab), 189 nucleotides long. RefSeq lists it as uncharacterized. The record is from RefSeq and is a predicted model, not a curated record. NCBI's taxonomy places the organism in Eukaryota, Metazoa, Arthropoda, Merostomata, Xiphosura, Limulidae. The transcript has 3 exons.